GUGGGGAAUUUUGGACAAUGGGCGAAAGCCUAAUCCAGCAAUGCCGCGUGUGUGAAGAAGGCCUUCGGGUUGUAAACUGCUUUUGUACGGAACGAAACGGUCCGGGUUAAUACCCUGGGCUAAUGACGGUACCGUAAGAAUAAGCACCGGCUAACUACGUGCCAGCAGCCGCGGUAAUACGUAGGGUGCAAGCGUUAAUCGGAAUUACUGGGCGUAAAGCGUGCGCAGGCGGUUUUGUAAGACAGGCGUGAAAUCCCCGGGCUCAACCUGGGAAUUGCGCUUGUGACUGCAAGGCUGGAGUGCGGCAGAGGGGGAUGGAAUUCCGCGUGUAGCAGUGAAAUGCGUAGAUAUGCGGAGGAACACCGAUGGCGAAGGCAAUCCCCUGGGCCUGCACUGACGCUCAUGCACGAAAGCGUGGGGAGCAAACAGGAUUAGAUACCCCGGUAGUCC
Molecule: ribosomal RNA, 450 nt
Filed under: uncultured bacterium
Lineage: Bacteria
Description: partial 16S ribosomal RNA
Rfam family: Bacterial small subunit ribosomal RNA
Source: RNAcentral